Anas platyrhynchos (mallard) is the source of this 2854-nucleotide non-coding RNA. NCBI's taxonomy places the organism in Eukaryota, Metazoa, Chordata, Aves, Anseriformes, Anatidae. The record is from RefSeq and is a predicted model, not a curated record.
AAAUCAAGAUAAAUGCUACACAAGGGGAGGGAACAGAAAAGGUUAGGAUAUAAAGGAAAAGAGGAAAGUGUAGAAACUGUUUGUGUUAGGAAAAGAGAAUUAGGAAAAAAGAAGAAUGGGGGGUAGAAAGAAUAAAUUUGAGACCUAGAAGACACAGCCAAUGCUCUGUGCUCUUUAUCCUCCACCAAGACAGAGAUACCUUCUUGGUUUCAACAGGAUACAGGAUAAGCAUUGACCUUUCAAGUGAAAUACUGAUUGCAAAACAGACACAGUGGUCAAACCGUCCAGUGGAACAUCCAUUAAGUUCAUUCUCAGUUGGACUUCCUAAGAAAUGCUUUUUCUGUGUGUGGACUGCUACCUUUUGACCUUGGUCUUCAGCCAGUUCUACUCUGCAACCUUUACGCUGUGUUAGUUAUUCCCUUUUCCCACCUGACCCUCAUUAACAGCAACUUUCUUCCUGUUUUGUAAGAGAAAAAGGAAAUCUGUUCAUCCAGCCUGAUGCAGCCUAAGGUACUCAUUGCCAAUAAAACAGCCUCGCUGCAAAACAGUAGGGGAGUAGAAACAGACCAAGAACAACAUAGAAGAAAAUUUCAAGUGACAGAAAAUUAGAAAAUAUAACAGAACACUGACUAUUAAACUGUUGUAUGCAUAAAUUCCAGCCUCUCAUCCUCUCUUCCUUCUUCCUUAUAUGCCUGCUAUGUAAGAUGCAGUACUUUGCAGUACAGUGUUAUGUUCAGGGACAAGAUAGCCACAGCUUGCAGACACUGAGUUGACUGAUCCCUUGCAGAAACCUCCAAACUUCUACAGCUUGCAAAAAUAUGAAGACCUGUAAAUGUGGAACAGCUGGUGGAUCUGCAGAUUCCCCUGGCCAAGAGCUCCUUUACUACUCCUCCCUUCCUCGCUACUCCAAGUUUAUCAAGCAAACCAGUUCUUCCCCUCUGUGCAAUGUGCAUAGAUUAGCCCCUGCCUUUGGUUCUUUUGGCAGCUAUAGAGAUUAUUUUAACCUUUGUUAACUUCUUCAUUAGACAUCUUUCAGAAUAUUUCUUCUUGACUCUAGUAUAGAAAGGGCAUAUAUCUGAACUCUUAACAGGCUUCAUAUAGAGCCAGAGUAUUACUUCUUGACCAGCUUUUUCUAUAGCAAUUAACCUAGCUUAUGUCCACACAGAUAAGAUGCUAUUGUGCUCAAGUUAUAAAAUUAAAAUAUACAGAUUAAAAAAAAAAUAAAGCAAGAAUUAAGGGCUGUUUUCAUCAACAGUUAUUUCAGUGUGUACUAUGUGGAAGAUGAAAGAAAAGUGUUACAGAAGAUAUGAAUUACAGUAAUUACAUAAGCUUUGGAUAGCAGUCAUGAAUAGCUAAGUGUUUCUACAUGUGGAUAGUCUGCAAGAUCUGAAAUUUCAAAAAACAACAGAAGUGAGGAUGAUGAUUUUGCAAAGUAUGUUUAACACAUUGGGAGAAAGUGAAAAUUAUACUGGAAAAAUACCAUUGUAAAUUCAUCUAGAUCUGCUAGCCUAUGGGGAAAAACAAAUUGAAGGAAGAACAUCCAUUAGUAUUUGGAAUAAGGAAGUACGAAGUAAAGGCGGUCCGGGAAAUGACCCUGAGCAUGGCUUUGCCCCUCCUGGGCAAGGCAACCUCUGCUUUCGUCUGUCACAACUUCUGGAAUGCCUGUGGGAGACUUGAGUCUGUACAACCAGUGGCUGAAAAAGAAAGAUACAAAUGAAGAGCUCUAAAGAUGGAGAGCCCAGUUUUUGUCUCCAUUACGAUGCUGAGCCUUAAGGAUGAAGCAUUACCUCAAUAGUUUCACUAGUGAAGCAUAGCAAAGCACCAUGACACGUAUCUAUUAUGUUUUGAAGGUGUUUAAUUGCCUAAAUAAGAUGUUUAAUUAAUUAAAGUGUUUAAUUAAACAACUGGAUUGUUUAAUUAACCUUGCAAUGACAAAUGGCUCAGUCUCUUAUAGUUGAAAGGUGUCUAGAAUCCUAAGCUCCAAUUUUAUUGAAAAUUAUGCUCUCAUGAGAGAAAAUAACUAAAAUGAAGAUUGAAAUGAUACAAAUUCUUGAUUGUUGCCUUUUAUAUACCCUUUCAAAAUAGAGGCCACGUCUCUGGAAAUUUUUUUAAGGUGGUUUAUUAGCUGGGACAGAUAACAACACUGAUGCAAUAGCUUCUAUCUUACUGCUUGAUAUAAAGUACUGCAUCCUGAAUAUGAUGUUCAUUUGGUGAAGUUUUUACCACAUUGCAGUGGAACUUUCUUGUCCUUCCCCAAACAGUGUGAACCAACUUUCACAGCCACAAGAGAGUACCUGUGUGAUAACUGUGGCUGUGGUGGUGGGCACUGACAACCCUGCAAGGGAGGAACAGUCUUCUGAAAGCAACUGGAGCAGGGACAAGCUUUCACCUUACAAAUCCUAGCCAGAUGUGUCUGCAGAAAGACAUCAAGUCAGUAGUUCUUGAGUCUUACGUGAUGGCAACUCCUGCCUGGGCACAUGGCUGAAUGUGAAAGGUGCACACACCUGUGCAAGUUAUCUAGGCACCACCUCCCAGCUGAGCAUGCAGCUGCAAGCAAUGCAUGCUUGCCUAACCCACCUUUUCCUCCUGGUGUACCAGUUCGAGGAGAUGCUCAGACCUGUAGUAGAAACACAGAGCAUACAGGUGCUCAGUUAGCUUCUCCAUCCCUAUGUGCUGUCAGUUUGACAAACCACAGCAACUCCAUGACAUCCUUCAGUGUCUCCUUGUCUUGACAAGACCAAGGCAGCAAGCAAGGUGAUAGCUUCUCUCUGUGCAGCUCAGCAGACAGAACAGAGUGGAGCUGGUGUUGUCUCAGAAUGUCCAUUUCCCUCUCAUGUCAAAGUCUGGAUAAGUA